This is a long non-coding RNA of Armigeres subalbatus, 288 nucleotides long. RefSeq lists it as uncharacterized. The record is from RefSeq and is a predicted model, not a curated record. The transcript has 3 exons. Lineage: Eukaryota; Metazoa; Arthropoda; Insecta; Diptera; Culicidae.
ACUCAACGAUCAAACUCUGAAAAUUAAUAAAACAUUUUUUGUUUCACAACGCGAAAAAUGGCGGAGGAGUGGAACGCGAAACUUCAUUGUUGUGCUGACUUUUUCUUUCAAACAGAUCCUUUUAAGAUUGGUGCAGAAAAAAUGUGAUACCGAAACACAUCACCGUUGUGGUUUCUAUACGAGAAUGCGAAUUAUACACGCUAGAAGUUUCGUUACUUUCGAGAACAAGUCUUUCGGAAAGAGACGAGAUCAAUGACACAGAUUUUUCUGGCAGGAAAAUCCCAAAAU